GCUCUGGUGGUCUAGUAGAAUGAUACGUGCUUUGGGUUCAUCGGUGUUCAACAUCGUAAUUCGAUUGCACGGGGUCCCGGGUUCAAAUCCCGGCCAGGGUC
Molecule: non-coding RNA, 101 nt
Organism: Mycena epipterygia
Lineage: Eukaryota; Fungi; Basidiomycota; Agaricomycetes; Agaricales; Mycenaceae
Source: the annotation of a GenBank genome assembly